CCGUGGGAGCUGAGCCCUGGGGGUGCCUGGCAGUAGGAGCCCCAUAUAGAGGCCUCGCAAGGUCCAGCUGCCUGGGGAACUCUGCACCUGCCCGGCCCUGGGCCACCGCUGGCAAGACCCUCCUGGACUCAGAUUUGUGAGCUUCGGGCUUUUCUUCCAUCUCUGGGGGGACAACCUCAGGUCCAGAGUCUGCUGCUGGGUGGCGGUGGGGAUGAUUUGCCCCCACAUGACCUGAGCAGAAGAGGGGCAGACAGAAUGCCCUCCGCUGGACCAUGUGGACACCUUUCCUGGGGUUCCGAGUUCCUGACUCACCUGUGACCCUCCUCUAGCAAAGAGAAGAGCCAGCUGCAGUGGCGCCAAUUCUGCAGCCCCGAGCCUCAAAUUUACCACUUACCUGUGUGUGGUUGAGGGCACAGCACCUUGCCUCCCUCUGCACCUCCCUUCCCUUCUCUGUAGGAUGCAGAUUAUCUUUAUGAUACGGGACUCUGGAGAGUGACACAUGGGUUGACAUGCAGGGCUGAACGCAGACGUGUCCCUGGGUCACCUGCUGCGUUUGGCUUCACAGUGCCUUCUAUGUUACACAGUUGCUAUUGCCUCUUUCCCCAGCAACAUUUUGGGCCACAUCCUUCCACCUGCCACCUCUGCGGCUCCACUGCCUGCUCGCACCUUUGUGCCCAGAGAUUUCUGCAUUUCCCUUGUGUUGCUAAGCCAGACACCCCUAAUCUCCAAGACUGCUCAGCAGUUGGGGGGCUGGGGUCACCCAGAACUGGCUCACUCUAACACAACCGGUCCCAGCACCAUCACCCCAGCAGGCUGUGAGCACUUAGUUAAGGUAAAACCUCAUUGGUUUCCUGGCCCUUUGAGCUCAGAUUGACAUCUUUUUUGUCACCGUGGAUUUCACUGGAGUGGACCUUGGAGUGCAAGCUUAGCCACGGCUGGGUUUUGGAGAGAUAUAAACUGAUCCGCGUGGCAGAGAUGCUUCAUUUUCUGGAAUCGUACAGAACAUUGUUCCAAAGAUGAGUGUGCUGAGACUUCGGUUCUGGAGUGCCAAUGAGUGUAGUAUGAAAAGACAGCUGAGGUCCAAUAACGUCAGGAAAAGUGGAGUGAAAGAUAAACAGGGAAUUGUGAAGAAUCUGUGUCCCUGUCAUCUCUCUUGGGCCACCCCUGCCCUGUAUGUAUCACGCCUGUCUGAAAUGGGCACAUUUCAGGUCUUUCCUAUUUCAUCUGUACCUUCCCGAGUAAGCACAACCUCAAGCAUUAAGGCAUUUACCCCUGAUUUCACAUGAUGAGAACUUCUGGGUUACCUCUGCCAAACAGGAAAACACAUUUUAAUUUUUCCAAAACAGUGAAAGAAAAAACAAAAAUGCUUCCUAAGCCUAUGACUAAAAUUAUUUUAUGAGAUAUUUUCAACCUUUAAAAUAAGUAUGACUCUAAUGUUCUGUUUCUUCUGGGCGUCGUUCUCACCCCCGGAACAAGAGGGAGGUGGAAAGGGGAUCCUCGCGGGAUCUGCUCUCCGGAGAACUUGUCCUCCUGCAGGGUGGGCGAAGGCACGUUAAGGAGCAUGACAGAUACUCCUGGGCCCUUCAAUCUU
Long non-coding RNA from Nycticebus coucang (slow loris), 1591 nucleotides. RefSeq lists it as uncharacterized. NCBI's taxonomy places the organism in Eukaryota, Metazoa, Chordata, Mammalia, Primates, Lorisidae. The transcript has 3 exons. The record is from RefSeq and is a predicted model, not a curated record.